AUUGAACGCUGGCGGCAGGCUUAACACAUGCAAGUCGAGCGGGGGAAGGUAGCUUGCUACCGGACCUAGCGGCGGACGGGUGAGAAAUGCUUAGGAAUCUGCCUAUUAGUGGGGGACAACAUCUCGAAAGGGAUGCUAAUACCGCAUACGUCCUACGGGAGAAAGCAGGGGAUCUUCGGACCUUGCGCUAAUAGAUGAGCCUAAGUCGGAUUAGCUAGUUGGUGGGGUAAAGGCCUACCAAGGCGACGAUCUGUAGCGGGUCUGAGAGGCUGAUCCGCCACACUGGGACUGAGGCACGGCCCAGACUCCUACGGGCGGCAGCAGUGGGGAAUAUUGGACAAUGGGGGGAACCCUGAUCCAGCCAUGCCGCGUGUGUGAAGAAGGCCUUAUGGUUGUAAAGCACUUUAAGCGAGGAGGAGGCUACUCUAGUUAAUACCUAGGGAUAGUGGACGUUACUCGCAGAAUAAGCACCGGCUAACUCUGUGCCAGCCGCCGCCGUAA
RNAcentral lists this ribosomal RNA (501 nucleotides) under uncultured bacterium. RNAcentral's name for it is "partial 16S ribosomal RNA". It matches the Rfam family "Bacterial small subunit ribosomal RNA", at positions 30 to 523 of the family's 1533-position model. The record is from RNAcentral.